GGCCCUUUACAUGUGGCUGAGCCAGGCAGCGGCAGCCCUGAGGCAGCCAUGUUGGAUCUGGCUGUGUCUCGCCCUCUCCCAGCUACAAGGUUUCCCUUAACUCCGGCUGUGUUUUCCUUCCCUUAUUGCUGGGGGAUGGCACCUUCUCUCGGUGGCCGUCUCAGCCCUGGCUGGAGAUGUGCUGCGACCCAAGGAGGUCACAAGCUGCGGUGCAGCCCGUCUGGGUGUGUGAUAGCCAAGAGAAGCAGUGGAUUGUGGGAAUGCUGGCGUCAGCACCACGAGGGCUUCCUGAGGCAGGGAAGCCAGCAAUCAGCACUGCAGGAUCUGCUGUUCUGGAGCAGUGCCGCAUCACACUUGGGCAGCGCUGGAAUGCCCUGCUCAAAGCAACAGCCUGUGCAUCUCAUCCCAGGGGGUAGUCACGCCAGCCUCCUGAUAUGCAGCAUGAUGUGGGCAGAUCCCUGCUAAAAGUCAGGUUUGGAGCCAUGUUAGGACUAGAGGGUUUUCUAUAGCACCCAUCAAGCUAGUAGGUAA
Long non-coding RNA from Chelonoidis abingdonii (Abingdon island giant tortoise), 531 nucleotides. RefSeq lists it as uncharacterized. NCBI's taxonomy places the organism in Eukaryota, Metazoa, Chordata, Testudines, Testudinidae. The record is from RefSeq and is a predicted model, not a curated record.